Xenopus laevis (African clawed frog) is the source of this 574-nucleotide long non-coding RNA. RefSeq lists it as uncharacterized. The transcript is spliced from 2 exons. The record is from RefSeq and is a predicted model, not a curated record. Lineage: Eukaryota; Metazoa; Chordata; Amphibia; Anura; Pipidae.
AGCACAGGGGUAAUAUUAGAAAUUUUAAAUCAGGUACCCAAUCAGACACCCCAGUAUCUAGGCACUUUGCGUCUCAUGGUCACAACCAAAUGCAAUUAAGGUGGCUUGUAUUGGAAAAUGUUAAGUUACCCAAAAGAGGGGGUAAUAUUCAGAAAAUGCUCCUUCAACAUGAAGCUCGAUGGAUUAAAAAACUCAACACAAUGUCACCCAUGGGCCUUAAUGACCAUUGGAGCUUAAUACCCUUUUUAUAAUUCGCCUUAUGAUAACACAAUUUUUUAAUCUUUUUACAGAUUUUGAAAAUCAAAUUUUCGCUUCUAAAGGGCUUUGAAAAUGGGAAAUCCUGCACUUUGUUUUAUAUGAUUGUCACAACAUGAACUUUUGAUAUAUUACAUAUAUCCACAUAUGGGAUCGUUUAAUGCUUACUAAUUAAUUUAUCAGGUGGGGGGUGUGGUUACACUCACCUCUGUGUGGUCUAUAUAAAUCGUUUUGUAAUUCACUUGUAUUCACACUUGAAAAAGGACAUAUGCUGUCCGAAACAUGUUGUGUGGAAAAUAAAAGAGCAUAUCAGCAGUAA